Molecule: ribosomal RNA, 414 nt
Filed under: uncultured bacterium
Lineage: Bacteria
Description: bacterial SSU rRNA
Rfam family: Bacterial small subunit ribosomal RNA
Source: RNAcentral
UGAGUAACACGUAUGCAACCUGCCUGUAAGCGGGGAAUAACCCGUUGAAGACGGACCAAUACCGCAUAAUACUAAAUUACUGCAUGGUAAUUUAUUUAAACAUUUAUGGCUUACAGAUGGGCAUGCGCAUGAUUAGCUAGUUGGAGAGGUAACGGCUCCCCAAGGCAACGAUCAUUAGGGGUUCUGAGAGGAAGGUCCCCCACACUGGUACUGAGACACGGACCAGACUCCUACGGGAGGCAGCAGUGAGGAAUAUUGGUCAAUGGACGAGAGUCUGAACCAGCCAAGUCGCGUGCAGGAAGAAUGUCCUUAAUGGAUUGUAAACUGCUUUUGCAGGGGAAUAAAGUGCAUCACGUGUGAUGUUUUGUAUGUACUCUGCGAAUAAGGAUCGGCUAACUCCGUGCCAGCAGCCGC